Molecule: long non-coding RNA, 1236 nt
Organism: Panthera uncia (snow leopard)
Lineage: Eukaryota; Metazoa; Chordata; Mammalia; Carnivora; Felidae
Exons: 3
Source: RefSeq, a predicted model, not a curated record
ACCGGAGCCUGGAGCCCGCUUUGGCUUCCGUGUCUCCCUCUCCCUCUCUCUCUCAAAAAUAAAUAAACAUCGAAAAAUAAAUAAAUAAAUAAAUAAAUAAAAAAAUAAAAAAAAAAAAAAAAAAGAUGAUUCGCGUGAAACAUGAAGAGUGAGGGGACCAAGCCUCGCAGAAUCGCCGAGGCCCGGGUCGCCAUGUUUCCGGUCCAAGCCGGGACCGGCGCUCCAAGCGAGCUACGGAGCGGCCCACCGAGACGCAAGGUCCUCCGCGCAGCCUAGAGAGGGCACGAAGUUGCCUAGGGGCGGGGCCCGAGGCUCCGGCGGACGCGUGGAGGGCUGGGCGCGCGGAGUUUUGCUGCUCUACUGAGUGUGGGGCGGAAGCUUGUUGCUGAGGGCGGAAGUUUGUUGCUGAGGGCGGACGGUGUGUACUUUACUUUUCUGUUAUCCCCAGCGCCCAAGGGGCCGGUGACCUUCGAUGAUGUGGACGUGGGCUUCGGAAACGAAGAGUGGAAUCGCCUGGACUGCACCCAGAAGGCUCUUUACACGGACUGAUGCUGAAGAAUUAAGGGAAACACCAGCGCGCUGAGAAUCUCUCUACACCCAGCGUGGACCUCUCAAAAUUCCAAGAUCAGAGUUGCAUGUGCCACCGACUGAGCCAGCCAGACGUCCCCAACCCUGGAAUCCCUUUCUUACCACAGGUUGGUUAUACAGUUGGUUUCCGUCAUUGAUAACAGCGACUGACACGUGAGCAUAGAAACUGUUCAUUGUUGAGGUGCCUGGCUGGUAGAGCAUGUGACUUGAUUUUGGGUUCAUGAGUUCAAGCCCCGUGUUGUGCAUGGAACCUACUUAAACAAACAAACCUGUUCAUUGCUGGUGUUUUAACAACAUCCUACCUGAGGGAACACUGGCAACUUGAAACCCAGUUGUGAACACCCUGAAGAAAGAGGAGCAUUGACUGGGAUGGCGUACAACAACCUGUAAAUUCCUAUCACUUUAAAUUGGUCUUUUCUGGGGCGCCUGGGUGGCGCAGUCGGUUAAGCGUCCGACUUCAGCCAGGUCACGAUCUCGCGGUCCGUGAGUUCGAGCCCCGCGUCGGGCUCUGGGCUGAUGGCUCGGAGCCUGGAGCCUGUUUCCGAUUCUGUGUCUCCCUCUCUCUCUGCCCCUCCCCCGUUCAUGCUCUGUCUCUCUCUCUGUCCCAAAAAUAAAUAAAAAACGUUGAAAAAAAAAUUAAAAAAAAAA